This 450-nucleotide ribosomal RNA is filed under the name uncultured bacterium. RNAcentral's name for it is "partial 16S ribosomal RNA". It matches the Rfam family "Bacterial small subunit ribosomal RNA", at positions 354 to 796 of the family's 1533-position model. The record is from RNAcentral.
GUAGGGAAUCUUCCACAAUGGACGAAAGUCUGAUGGAGCAACGCCGCGUGAGUGAAGAAGGGUUUCGGCUCGUAAAGCUCUGUUGUCGGGGACGAAUGUGCAGUAUUUGAAUAAAGUAGUGCAAUGACGGUACCUGACGAGGAAGCCACGGCUAACUACGUGCCAGCAGCCGCGGUAAUACGUAGGUGGCAAGCGUUGUCCGGAAUUAUUGGGCGUAAAGGGAGCGCAGGCGGGAAGGUAAGUCGGUCUUAAAAGUGCGGGGCUCAACCCCGUGAUGGGAUCGAAACUAUCUUUCUUGAGUGCAGGAGAGGAAAGUGGAAUUCCUAGUGUAGCGGUGAAAUGCGUAGAUAUUAGGAGGAACACCAGUGGCGAAGGCGACUUUCUGGACUGUAACUGACGCUGAGGCUCGAAAGCCAGGGGAGCGAACGGGAUUAGAAACCCUUGUAGUCC